CCAAACUUUCGCCCGACUUAUCAC
RNAcentral lists this non-coding RNA (24 nucleotides) under Arabidopsis thaliana (thale cress). Lineage: Eukaryota; Viridiplantae; Streptophyta; Magnoliopsida; Brassicales; Brassicaceae. The record is from RNAcentral.